CCUACGGGAGGCAGCAGUGAGGAAUAUUGGACAAUGGGCGAGAGCCUGAUCCAGCCAUGCCGCGUGCAGGAUGACUGCCCUAUGGGUUGUAAACUGCUUUUAUAUAGGAAGAAACCUUUCCACGUGUGGAAAGCUGACGGUACUAUAAGAAUAAGGAUCGGCUAACUCCGUGCCAGCAGCCGCGGUAAUACGGAGGAUCCAAGCGUUAUCCGGAAUCAUUGGGUUUAAAGGGUCCGUAGGUGGAUAAUUAAGUCAGAGGUGAAAUCCUGCAGCUCAACUGUAGAAUUGCCUUUGAUACUGGUUAUCUUGAAUUAUUGUGAAGUGGUUAGAAUAUGUAGUGUAGCGGUGAAAUGCAUAGAUAUUACAUAGAAUACCAAUUGCGAAGGCAGAUCACUAACAAUAUAUUGACACUGAUGGACGAAAGCGUGGGGAGCGAACAGGAUUAGAUACCCUGGUAG
This 458-nucleotide ribosomal RNA is filed under the name uncultured bacterium. Its description in RNAcentral is "bacterial SSU rRNA". It matches the Rfam family "Bacterial small subunit ribosomal RNA", at positions 338 to 793 of the family's 1533-position model. The record is from RNAcentral.